Molecule: long non-coding RNA, 396 nt
Organism: Notothenia coriiceps (black rockcod)
Lineage: Eukaryota; Metazoa; Chordata; Actinopteri; Perciformes; Nototheniidae
Exons: 2
Source: RefSeq, a predicted model, not a curated record
AAAUGUACCAUCAAUUUACACCAGGACUGCUGCGCAUGACAGGAAAGUUUGAUCGCGGGAAAAAAAGUCACCCUUCUUAAUAAUAAUGGAGUCCAGUUUGUUGGCCUACAGAGAAGUUAUACAAAGUAUGAUAAAAGAUGGUUGUACUGAUCAAAAUAUAUCCGAUCAUCUCCAGUAUGAAUGUGGCUUAACAAAUGGGUUCUCCCAAACAAACAUCCGUCGCUUUUGUACCCAAAAUGGUAUAGGCAGAGAGCGAGUACACGAUUCCCAACUGGAAGUAGAGGUUGCUAAAGCAACUAUUGAGACUGGACCAACAUAUGGAAGAAAAAUGAUGAGUGGUUACCUGGCCUCAAAAGGAAUCCAGCAUCAGAGGGGCGUGUUGGUCGUGUCCUCAGA